This 1033-nucleotide long non-coding RNA is filed under the name Toxoplasma gondii VEG. Lineage: Eukaryota; Apicomplexa; Conoidasida; Eucoccidiorida; Sarcocystidae. The record is from RNAcentral.
CUUUACAAAGGAGUUUCUGUGCCUACCAAAGCUGGAGACUUCCUUCUUUGUGUCAGGGAAACUCGAGCAAGGCGUCAGAGGCAUGCGAGAGGCUCUGCUACCUUUGGAAGCCGACCGACAGUCAAGGGUAUGCGCCAAGAAUCUUUUCCCUAACAGAAAAGUGCAGCUUUUCUAGAAUUACGUCGAAAAAGAUUCAGACAGACGUUUUCGAUUCCAGAAACGCCAUGAAGGAGGUUCAAGUAGUUGUGUUCGACUCUAGAAACGCCAUGAAGGAGGUUCAAGUAGUUGUUUUCGCCUGGCAUUUUGUAUUGCGCGUUUAACAUUCACCUUUUCAGAGGGGAGCUUGCCUUUAUUGACGAAACUACCUCGGUGCGACUUCCUACAAGACAAUCGAGAGUCGCUGGGGGAUUUCCUCGCCACUUUUUUCCAAGGAAAUCACAGGCUGCGGGACAUUUAGCACGACCUUUCUCACACAUCAGUUUGCCGUACACGCCUGUGUUGCACCUCGUCUUGCCUUUGAUUGGGUGUGCUGUCCACGUUAUGGCUGUCUUCUCUCCUUGUCUUAUUUGGAACGGGUGUAUCUAGUCGCAUUUCAGCAAGAAACCUGUUCUUCGCUGCCGUCUUGAGCAACCGCGCUGGUCCCUUGCCUCUGCUUCCUUCCCUUAUUCUCAAGUUCAGUGCUGUGGUCGCCCGGGGACCGUUCCUAGAGACGAGCACUUGUAUCCAUCCUACACAGCGACCUCGAUUGACUGUGUUUCCUGGAUCAAAGUUCGGCCGUUCUUUCGCAAUACCCUGGCGAGCUUCCCAUGUGAAAUGCUCGCCCCGUCUUCACUUUGUUCGCGUUUGUCGAGUACACAUCUCGGUUCCUUUUCGGAAGAGUUCGAGCGCAGGAACUGUGUGAACGGUUCGUCCGCCUGGCUUGUGUGGGUCGUCAGGCCGCAACCAUCUCUCGGUUCGCCGACACCCUCUUCAAGAUGCGACCCCUGCAUCGGUGGAGUUCCGCAGUUAGCGGCACUCAGGCAGACUUGUGGGU